UACGGGGGGGGCAAGCGUUGUUCGGAAUUACUGGGCGUAAAGGGCUCGUAGGUGGCCAACUAAGUCAUACGUGAAAUCCCUCAGCUUAACUGGGGAACUGCGUCUGAUACUGGAUGGCUUGAGUUUGGGAGAGGGAUGCGGAAUUCCAGGUGUAGCGGUGAAAUGCGUAGAUAUCUGGAGGACCACCUGCGGUGUAGACGGCUUACUGGACCGCCACUGACGCUGAGGCACGAAAGCGUGGGUAGCAAACAGG
RNAcentral lists this ribosomal RNA (253 nucleotides) under uncultured bacterium. Its description in RNAcentral is "partial 16S ribosomal RNA". It matches the Rfam family "Bacterial small subunit ribosomal RNA", at positions 524 to 776 of the family's 1533-position model. The record is from RNAcentral.